GUCAGCACCACUCUACUUCAAGCGGAUGAUGGGCACCUUUUGGUAUAGCUUGUUUUCUAUCUACAAUAGAAUUGAUAAAUAGAGAACUGGAAGGUCAUGUUGACUCAACUACAGAGGAAGAAGGGGGAGAAACUGAGCAAGAACCCGAACCUUCGUCCAGCGAUGGAUGGAGAUAGAGACAGAGACCCACAUCGGAGCACUGG
Long non-coding RNA from Microtus oregoni (creeping vole), 203 nucleotides. RefSeq lists it as uncharacterized. The record is from RefSeq and is a predicted model, not a curated record. The transcript has 3 exons. NCBI's taxonomy places the organism in Eukaryota, Metazoa, Chordata, Mammalia, Rodentia, Cricetidae.